CUUGUUUCGUCGUCCCACGAAACAAAAUUUCCAACGUACAAAGACCCCUGUCCGAUAAAAAAAGACGCCCUCUUCACUCUCUCUUUUUCCUUCAUCCCUGUUGAAACACCACGAAAGGAGAGUGUCCUCCUCUGCUCAACCCGACUGCUACCUCCAAGAUUCGAUUGCUACCUCCAAGAAUUGACUGCACACAACCCUCAUGAUCACUUACCCUGCUCCCGUGAACACUACGGAGCUGUCCAUUACCAAAGAUUCGUCCUUCGUCCUUCACCCUACCUUACAUUCAUCCAGCUCCCGUGAACCCUACGAGGGUUUCUUUCUUCAACCUUGAAGAGUCUACAAAAAGGUGGGAAAAGCAUCCAACUUCUUAGGUGAGAUCAUCCUUCAAAGUCUUUCAUUCAGUAGAGGUAGAUUAGUUCAAGCUUCGGUUUACCUUUCCGCAAGCGUAUCUCUCCUCUUCAAGAGUCUGAAAAAAAAAUUAGGGAUUUGGGACUCUUCAGUUCCGCUGCAAGCUAGCAACUACAAUUUUUGGAUCGGCUGAAAGGGAGAACUGCAGAGGACUUACUUAGAGUUAUGAGAUCUCCAAGAACCCCUAACCCCAAAAGCACUACAAUAAUCUGGAAUAAAGCUGAAUAAGAACAUUCAUCAAUCAAAUGGUUGAGAAUGUAAGGAAAGGUUUGAAGACCAAGUCCACCUUCACCAAGAUUGGAUGGGAAAAUAUUUCAAAAGGGUUAGAAGCCGAAUUCAAUAGACCAUUUGCUAAGGAGCAAUUUCGUAACAAAAUGAACAAACUAAGGAAGGAGUACAACAGCUUCAGGCGUCUGUUAGACACGACUGGAUUUGGAUGGGAUGCAAAUGUUAGGACUGCUACAGCUGCUGAUUCUAUGUGGGAAUCUGCUAUUUAGGAGACUGAUCAUGAUGAUAGUGAAGGUUGUAGUGGCACACGCAACAAAUCUGCUCCUCCAAAGCGGGACCUUGGUAGGACUCCUACGAAGCGGAGGAGGAAGAACCAGACACGGACAGUCACAAACUCCGCUUAGGACUUCAGACAGUUUGGCCGAUGGAGGAUGGAAAAGGGCACCUCCGCUGCCACCUCUGCCAUUGUUCGACCUUCUAAUCCUAUUGUUGAUGGACCAUGUAGUAUGAUGAGCUGUCGGAAGCUGCUGGACACUUUAGAUGAUAUCCCACAUGAGUUGUAUGUGUUGGCUCAGCAGAAGAUACACAAUGAUCCUGGUUGAUGCAUGCCUUUUGUGGAAGUGAGGCCGGUUAGGAGGUUGUGGAUGAUAUGGCAUCUGAAGGAGUUACCUCGACCGGAAUCAGUUUGUUAGUCAUUGGUUUUCCAGACAGUUGGACUAGUUUUUUUUUUUUUUUUUAACUUUUACAUCACUUGUUCUAACUUACAUACGUUUCUACCUACUCUUCUUUUUAGUAAUGGUUUAAAGAUUGGGAUGCUUUGACUUC
Macadamia integrifolia is the source of this 1461-nucleotide long non-coding RNA. RefSeq lists it as uncharacterized. NCBI's taxonomy places the organism in Eukaryota, Viridiplantae, Streptophyta, Magnoliopsida, Proteales, Proteaceae. The transcript has 4 exons. The record is from RefSeq and is a predicted model, not a curated record.